UAGGGAAUCUUCCACAAUGGACGCAAGUCUGAUGGAGCAACGCCGCGUGAGUGAAGAAGGGCUUCGGCUCGUAAAGCUCUGUUGUUAAAGAAGAACGUGGGUAAGAGUAACUGUUUACCCAGUGACGGUAUUUAACCAGAAAGCCACGGCUAACUACGUGUCAG
Molecule: ribosomal RNA, 164 nt
Filed under: uncultured bacterium
Lineage: Bacteria
Description: partial 16S ribosomal RNA
Rfam family: Bacterial small subunit ribosomal RNA
Source: RNAcentral